RNAcentral lists this ribosomal RNA (660 nucleotides) under Ralstonia sp. enrichment culture. Its description in RNAcentral is "bacterial SSU rRNA". It matches the Rfam family "Bacterial small subunit ribosomal RNA", at positions 1 to 651 of the family's 1533-position model. Lineage: Bacteria; Pseudomonadati; Pseudomonadota; Betaproteobacteria; Burkholderiales; Burkholderiaceae. The record is from RNAcentral.
GGCCGCGGGAUUAGAGUUUGAUCCUGGCUCAGAUUGAACGCUGGCGGCAUGCCUUACACAUGCAAGUCGAACGGCAGCGCGGACUUCGGUCUGGCGGCGAGUGGCGAACGGGUGAGUAAUACAUCGGAACGUACCCUGUUGUGGGGGAUAACUAGUCGAAAGAUUAGCUAAUACCGCAUACGACCUGAGGGUGAAAGCGGGGGACCGCAAGGCCUCGCGCAGCAGGAGCGGCCGAUGUCUGAUUAGCUAGUUGGUGGGGUAAAGGCCCACCAAGGCGACGAUCAGUAGCUGGUCUGAGAGGACGAUCAGCCACACUGGGACUGAGACACGGCCCAGACUCCUACGGGAGGCAGCAGUGGGGAAUUUUGGACAAUGGGGGCAACCCUGAUCCAGCAAUGCCGCGUGUGUGAAGAAGGCCUUCGGGUUGUAAAGCACUUUUGUCCGGAAAGAAAACGCUCUGGUUAAUACCUGGAGUGGAUGACGGUACCGGAAGAAUAAGCACCGGCUAACUACGUGCCAGCAGCCGCGGUAAUACGUAGGGUGCGAGCGUUAAUCGGAAUUACUGGGCGUAAAGCGUGCGCAGGCGGUUUUGUAAGACAGGCGUGAAAUCCCCGAGCUCAACUUGGGAAUUGCGCUUGUGACUGCAAGGCUAGAGUAUGU